This 335-nucleotide unclassified non-coding RNA is filed under the name plant metagenome. Its description in RNAcentral is "partial contains 5.8S ribosomal RNA, internal transcribed spacer 2, and large subunit ribosomal RNA". The stretch from base 1 to 105 matches the Rfam family "5.8S ribosomal RNA", at positions 50 to 154 of the family's 154-position model. The record is from RNAcentral.
GAAAUGCGAUAAGUAAUGUGAAUUGCAGAAUUCCGUGAAUCAUCGAAUCUUUGAACGCACAUUGCGCCCUCUGGCAUUCCGGGGGGCAUGCCUGUCCGAGCGUCAUUACGCACCCUCAAGCCCGGCUUGUGUGAUGGGCCCCGCCGUCUCGUUCGCGAGACGGGCCCGAAAGGCAGCGGCGGCGUCAACCCGAUGAGCCCGAGCGUAUGGGGACUUUUGUCACACGUUCGCGGUGCGGACCGGCGCCUGCUUUGACUUUUAAUUUCUAGGUUGACCUCGGAUCAGGUAGGGAUACCCGCUGAACUUAAGCAUAUCAAUAAGCGGAGGACUCUCUC